Molecule: ribosomal RNA, 743 nt
Filed under: uncultured bacterium
Lineage: Bacteria
Description: bacterial SSU rRNA
Rfam family: Bacterial small subunit ribosomal RNA
Source: RNAcentral
GGCUAGAGUGCGGUAGGGGAGAUUGGAAUUCCUGGUGUAGCAGUGGAAUGCGCAGAUAUCAGGAGGAACACCGAUGGCGAAGGCAGAUCUCUGGGCCGUAACUGACGCUGAGGAGCGAAAGCAUGGGGAGCGAACAGGAUUAGAUACCCUGGUAGUCCAUGCCGUAAACGUUGGGAACUAGAUGUAGGGCCUGUUCCACGGGUUCUGUGUCGUAGCUAACGCAUUAAGUUCCCCGCCUGGGGAGUACGGCCGCAAGGCUAAAACUCAAAGGAAUUGACGGGGGCCCGCACAAGCGGCGGAGCAUGCGGAUUAAUUCGAUGCAACGCGAAGAACCUUACCAAGGCUUGACAUGUAGAAGAACGGGUCAGAGAUGAUCAACUCUUUGGACACUUCUAUACAGGUGGUGCAUGGUUGUCGUCAGCUCGUGUCGUGAGAUGUUCGGUUAAGUCCGGCAACGAGCGCAACCCUCGUCCUAUGUUGCCAGCACGUAAUGGUGGGAACUCAUGGGAUACUGCCGUGGUCAACACGGAGGAAGGUGGGGAUGACGUCAAAUCAUCAUGCCCCUUAUGUCUUGGGCUUCACGCAUGCUACAAUGGCCGGUACAAAGGGCAGCGAAGGAGCGAUCUGGAGCGAAUCCCAAAAAGCCUGCCCCAGUUGGAAUCGCAGGCUGCAACCCGCCUGCGUGAACACGGAAUUCGUAGUAAUCGCGAAUCAGCUACGUCGCGGUGAAUACGUUCCCGGGC